RNAcentral lists this ribosomal RNA (496 nucleotides) under uncultured bacterium. RNAcentral describes it as "partial 16S ribosomal RNA". It matches the Rfam family "Bacterial small subunit ribosomal RNA", at positions 29 to 507 of the family's 1533-position model. The record is from RNAcentral.
AUGAACGCUGGCGGCGUGCCUAAUACCUGCAAGUCGCGCGAACAGACGAGGAGCUUGCUCCUCUGACGUUAGCGGCGGACGGGUGAGUAACACGUGGAUAACCUACCUAUAAGACUGGGAUAACUUCGGGAAACCGGAGCUAAUACCGGAUAAUAUAUUGAACCGCAUGGUUCAAUAGUGAAAGACGGUUUUGCUGUCACUUAUAGAUGGAUCCGCGCCGCAUUAGCUAGUUGGUAAGGUAACGGCUUACCAAGGCAGCGAUGCGUAGCCGACCUGAGAGGGUGAUCGGCCACACUGGAACUGAGACACGGUCCAGACUCCUACGGGAGGCAGCAGUAGGGAAUCUUCCGCAAUGGGCGAAAGCCUGACGGAGCAACGCCGCGUGAGUGAUGAAGGUCUUCGGAUCGUAAAACUCUGUUAUUAGGGAAGAACAAAUGUGUAAGUAACUAUGCACGUCUUGACGGUACCUAAUCAGAAAGCCACGGCUAACUACGUG